UACGUAGGGUGCGAGCGUUGUCCGGAAUCAUUGGGCGUAAAGCGCGUGUAGGCGGUCCGGUAAGUCCGCUGUGAAAGUCGGGGGCUCAACCCUCGGAUGCCGGUGGAUACUGUCGGGCUCGAGUCCGGAAGAGGAGUGUGGAAUUCCUGGUGUAGCGGUGAAAUGCGCAGAUAUCAGGAGGAACACCAAUGGCGAAGGCAGCACUCUGGGACGUGACUGACGCUGAGACGCGAAAGCGUGGGGAGCAAACAGG
RNAcentral lists this ribosomal RNA (253 nucleotides) under uncultured bacterium. RNAcentral describes it as "partial 16S ribosomal RNA". It matches the Rfam family "Bacterial small subunit ribosomal RNA", at positions 524 to 776 of the family's 1533-position model. The record is from RNAcentral.